CCUGGUGGUUUUGGCGGGGGUUCCCCACCCGAUCCCAUUUCGAACUCGGUCGUUAAGUCCCCCAGCGUCGAUGGUACUGUAUCUUAAGAUACGGGAGAGUAGAUCGCUGCCAGGU
This 115-nucleotide ribosomal RNA is filed under the name Chitinophagaceae bacterium. Lineage: Bacteria; Pseudomonadati; Bacteroidota; Chitinophagia; Chitinophagales; Chitinophagaceae. The record is from RNAcentral.